ACCCAACUGAAGAGUCCGAAAUAGGACGAAACGCGCGUCCUGGAU
RNAcentral lists this non-coding RNA (45 nucleotides) under Schistosoma curassoni. The record is from RNAcentral. Lineage: Eukaryota; Metazoa; Platyhelminthes; Trematoda; Strigeidida; Schistosomatidae.